CGGCGGACGGGUGAGUAACACGUGGAUAACCUACCUAUAAGACUGGGAUAACUUCGGGAAACCGGAGCUAAUACCGGAUAAUAUUUUGAACCGCAUGGUUCAAAAGUGAAAGACGGUCUUGCUGUCACCUAUAGAUGGAUCCGCGCUGCAUUAGCUAGUUGGUAAGGUAACGGCUUACCAAGGCAACGAUGCGUAGCCGACCUGAGAGGGUGAUCGGCCACACUGGAACUGAGACACGGUCCAG
RNAcentral lists this ribosomal RNA (244 nucleotides) under uncultured Staphylococcus sp. Its description in RNAcentral is "partial 16S ribosomal RNA". It matches the Rfam family "Bacterial small subunit ribosomal RNA", at positions 96 to 334 of the family's 1533-position model. The record is from RNAcentral. Lineage: Bacteria; Bacillati; Bacillota; Bacilli; Caryophanales; Staphylococcaceae.